RNAcentral lists this ribosomal RNA (925 nucleotides) under uncultured bacterium. Its description in RNAcentral is "bacterial SSU rRNA". It matches the Rfam family "Bacterial small subunit ribosomal RNA", at positions 33 to 940 of the family's 1533-position model. The record is from RNAcentral.
ACGCUGGCGGCGUGCCUAAUACAUGCAAGUAGAACGCUGAAGAGAGGAGCUUGCUCUUCUUGGAUGAGUUGCGAGCGGGUGAGUAACGCGUAGGUAACCUGCCUUGUAGCGGGGGAUAACUAUUGGAAACGAUAGCUAAUACCGCAUAACAAUGGAUGACACAUGUCAUUUAUUUGAAAGGGGCAAUUGCUCCACUACAAGAUGGACCUGCGUUGUAUUAGCUAGUAGGUGAGGUAACGGCUCACCUAGGCGACGAUACAUAGCCGACCUGAGAGGGUGAUCGGCCACACUGGGACUGAGACACGGCCCAGACUCCUACGGGAGGCAGCAGUAGGGAAUCUUCGGCAAUGGGGGCAACCCUGACCGAGCAACGCCGGGUGAGUGAAGAAGGUUUUCGGAUCGUAAAGCUCUGUUGUAAGUCAAGAACGAGUGUGAGAGUGGAAAGUUCACACUGUGACGGUAGCUUACCAGAAAGGGACGGCUAACUACGUGCCAGCAGCCGCGGUAAUACGUAGGUCCCGAGCGUUGUCCGGAUUUAUUGGGCGUAAAGCGAGCGCAGGCGGUUUGAUAAGUCUGAAGUUAAAGGCUGUGGCUCAACCAUAGUUCGCUUUGGAAACUGUCAAACUUGAGUGCAGAAGGGGAGAGUGGAAUUCCAUGUGUAGCGGUGAAAUGCGUAGAUAUAUGGAGGAACACCGGUGGCGAAAGCGGCUCUCUGGUCUGUAACUGACGCUGAGGCUCGAAAGUGUGGGGAGCGAACAGGAUUAGAUACCCUGGUAGUCCACGCCGUAAACGAUGAGUGCUAGGUGUUGGAUCCUUUCCGGGAUUCAGUGCCGCAGCUAACGCAUUAAGCACUCCGCCUGGGGAGUACGACCGCAAGGUUGAAACUCAAAGGAAUUGACGGGGGCCCGCACAAGCGGUGGAGCAU